AGGAGGUCCCGCCUGCCCUGUGACCAAAAGUUUAACGGCCGCGGUAUUUUAACCGUGCAAAGGUAGCGCAAUCAAUUGUCUUUUAAAUGAAGACCUGUAUGAAUGGCAUAACGAGGGUUUAACUGUCUCUUUUUUCAGGUCAAUGAAACUGAUCUGUCCGUGCAGAAGCGGACAUAUUAACACAAGACGAGAAGACCCUAUGGAGCUUUAGACGCCCACCAACCACGAAAAGCAGCCUACCUUAACAGAUGCUCUAAACAACGCGGUCCUGGUACAAACGUCUUCGGUUGGGGCGACCGCGGAGGAGAACAAAGCCUCCGAGAGGAAUGGGAACAAACCCUAAAACCAAGAGCCACAGCUCUAAGUCACAAAAAAUUUGACCGACAAUGAUCCGGCUUACUGCCGAUCAACGGACCAAGUUACCCUAGGGAUAACAGCGCAAUCCCCUCCCAGAGUCCAUAUCGACGAGGGGGUUUACGACCUCGAUGUUGGAUCAGGACAUCCUAAUGGUGCAGCCGCUAUUAAGGGUUCGUUUGUUCAACGAUUAAAGUCCUACGUGAUCUG
This 564-nucleotide ribosomal RNA is filed under the name Sardinella longiceps (Indian oil sardine). RNAcentral's name for it is "partial 16S ribosomal RNA". It matches the Rfam family "Bacterial large subunit ribosomal RNA", at positions 1847 to 2607 of the family's 2925-position model. Lineage: Eukaryota; Metazoa; Chordata; Actinopteri; Clupeiformes; Clupeidae. The record is from RNAcentral.